RNAcentral lists this ribosomal RNA (427 nucleotides) under uncultured bacterium. RNAcentral describes it as "partial 16S ribosomal RNA". It matches the Rfam family "Bacterial small subunit ribosomal RNA", at positions 355 to 774 of the family's 1533-position model. The record is from RNAcentral.
UGGGGAAUAUUGCACAAUGGGCGCAAGCCUGAUGCAGCCAUGCCGCGUGUAUGAAGAAGGCCUUCGGGUUGUAAAGUACUUUCAGCGGGGAGGAAGGCGUUGUGGUUAAUAACCACAGCAAUUGACGUUACCCGCAGAAGAAGCACCGGCUAACUCCGUGCCAGCAGCCGCGGUAAUACGGAGGGUGCAAGCGUUAAUCGGAAUUACUGGGCGUAAAGCGCACGCAGGCGGUCUGUCAAGUCGGAUGUGAAAUCCCCGGGCUCAACCUGGGAACUGCAUCCGAAACUGGCAGGCUUGAGUCUUGUAGAGGGGGGUAGAAUUCCAGGUGUAGCGGUGAAAUGCGUAGAGAUCUGGAGGAAUACCGGUGGCGAAGGCGGCCCCCUGGACAAAGACUGACGCUCAGGUGCGAAAGCGUGGGGAGCAAACA